CGGGGUGAGUAACGCGUGGGUAACCGUGCCUUGUACAGGGGGAUAACAGUUGGAAACGGCUGCUAAUACCGCAUAAGCGCACGGCAUCGCAUGAUGCAGUGUGAAAAACUCCGGUGGUAUAAGAUGGACCCGCGUUGGAUUAGCUAGUUGGUGAGGUAACGGCCCACCAAGGCGACGAUCCAUAGCCGACCUGAGAGGGUGACCGGCCACAUUGGGACUGAGACACGGCCCAA
Molecule: ribosomal RNA, 233 nt
Filed under: uncultured bacterium
Lineage: Bacteria
Description: partial 16S ribosomal RNA
Rfam family: Bacterial small subunit ribosomal RNA
Source: RNAcentral